Molecule: ribosomal RNA, 449 nt
Filed under: uncultured Desulfobacteraceae bacterium
Lineage: Bacteria; Pseudomonadati; Thermodesulfobacteriota; Desulfobacteria; Desulfobacterales; Desulfobacteraceae
Description: bacterial SSU rRNA
Rfam family: Bacterial small subunit ribosomal RNA
Source: RNAcentral
UGGAGCAUGUGGUUAAUUCGACGCAACGACGAAGAACCUUACCUGGACUUGACAUCUGGGGAAUCCCUAUGAAGUAGGAGUGCCCUUCGGGGAGCCCCAAGACAGGUGCUGCAUGGCUGUCGUCAGCUCGUGUCGUGAGAUGUUGGGUUAAGUCCCGCAACGAGCGCAACCCUUGUCUCUAGUUACCAUCAUUUGGUUGGGGACUCUAGAGAUACUGCCAAGGUUAACUUGGAGGAAGGUGGGGAUGGCGUCAAGUCCUCAUGGCCUUUAUGUCCAGGGCUACACACGUGCUACAAUGGACGGUACAGAGGGUCGCAAUAUCGCGAGAUGGAGCCAAUCCCAAAAAGCCGUUCCCAGUUCGGAUCGGAGUCUGCAACUCGACUCCGUGAAGCUGGAUUCGCUAGUAAUCGGAUGUCAGCAAUGAUCCGGUGAAUACGUUCCCGGGCCUU